Molecule: unclassified non-coding RNA, 1012 nt
Filed under: Hevea brasiliensis (rubber tree)
Lineage: Eukaryota; Viridiplantae; Streptophyta; Magnoliopsida; Malpighiales; Euphorbiaceae
Source: RNAcentral
GCUUCUUUUCUUUUAGUUUUCUGGAAUACUUUCUUGGGAGCUAUUUGAAUAAAAGCGUCACUGCUGAGAAAUCAAUUUCUACUUGAGCAAUAUUUGAGAAGUAUACAACCUUAAUCAUCUAAUUUUUGAAAUAAUACACCAAUGAACAUUAAACUUCCUACAUAAUCUUGAAGCUUAGAGUAAUUAACUCAACAAACCUUCUAAAUAUUAAACUAAUAAAAAAGCCACACUCAUCAAUCCUUUUUGCACAUCACUUUACCCUUUCCUCAAUCUUCACGGGGAAGCCACCCUUCAUUUUCGCAGUCAGAUACGAAACAAAUUCCGGCUCAACACCAUCCCCCGCCGCUGGUACCACCUUAAACCGACUUAAGACACCAGCAACCACCCUCUUCAUUUGCAAGAAGGCCAUUUCCUUCCCCAAACAAAUCCUGGGUCCGGCCUGAAAUACUGGGUAGGUAUACGUAUCUCUCCCCACGAAAUUCCAUUUCUCGCUCGUUGUAUCUCUCUCCAGCCACCUCUCUGGCUUGUAAUCGGCCCAAUCCACACCCCACAGCGUCUCUAGCCGACCCAUUGCGUAUGGAUGGUACGUAACUCUGUUUCCCUUGGUCACCGGAGUACCGUCUGGCAAAAUGUCAUCGCCUACUGCCAGUUUGGAGUCUGUUGGGACAGGAGGGUACAGCCUCAUGCUUUCACACAAAGACGCAUGGGUGUAAACCAUGUCCUUCACUUCUUCGAAAACGGGCAUCUCUGAUUUCUCAUGUAUCUCUUUGAUAAUGUUUAUUUCUACUUCUGGGUGUUUAGAGAGCAACCAGAAAAACCAUGUUAAGGCCGCAGACGUCGUGUCGCGGCCAGCUAGUAUGAAGCUAAUCACGAUGUCAACGAUGAAGGUCUCAUCCGAAUGGCCGGAGCUCAAGAAUCGGGAUAAGAGAUCGACGGAUUCAAUGGACGAGUUCUCCUUGAGUUCUUCCUUCUUUUCCUUGACUAGGUUCACAGCAAAAUGGCGUACUUCAGA